Molecule: unclassified non-coding RNA, 242 nt
Filed under: Hevea brasiliensis (rubber tree)
Lineage: Eukaryota; Viridiplantae; Streptophyta; Magnoliopsida; Malpighiales; Euphorbiaceae
Source: RNAcentral
GAUUUCUUUUCAGUUUCAAAUUCACAAUAAGAACGAAGCCAGAGCUGAUGUCGGAGCAGGCCAGUUCCAUAGAUUACAUAAUGGAAAAGGCGUCGGGCCCCCACUUCUCCGGCCUACGGCUCAACGGCCUCCUUUCAUCUCUGUCUUCCUCCUCCUCGACUUCGCCAACUCACCGCACAUGUGCCGUUUCAGCUUCAGCUUCUCCGCUUACUCCCAAACAGCCCUUUGUCAUUGGAGUAUCA